GAAAGGGAGAAAGAGAAAGAGACAGGGUUUCUUGUGAUUUCCUCCCUUAUACGUUCAGGUUCCUCAUCUAGCCAAUGAUCAUAGGAAAAUAUAGGAGAAGUACCUUGCUACGUGUAUCAGAAGGUUUUUCAUUGUGUUUUGCUUUACUAUGGAUCCCAAACAAGGAAAUCAAUAAGGAGUCUGGUCAAUCUAGCAAUUUGGGUCCUAAGAAACCUUCUUUCAAGAAUGAGGGUGGUCAUUGCUUCUUUUGUAAGAAAAAAUGGUCAUAUGAAGAAGGAUGCAGGGAUUCGUAAACCGGAGGAAGCCAAGUAAGGAGGAAUCAAAGCUCACUGUGGGGAACAAUGAACAAGCUGAUGUAGAAUUCAUGGGAGAUGUCAUUUUAAUUCUAGACUCUGUUUUUAAAUUGAUGUUAAGAAACACUUUUUAUAUACCGUACUUUAGGUGGAAUUUAAUUUCUGUUUUAGUUUUAGACUUGUGUGGUUACCAUUUUGAAAUAAAGAACGCUAUGGUUAAUUUGUUCUUCAA
This is a long non-coding RNA of Macadamia integrifolia, 525 nucleotides long. RefSeq lists it as uncharacterized. The record is from RefSeq and is a predicted model, not a curated record. NCBI's taxonomy places the organism in Eukaryota, Viridiplantae, Streptophyta, Magnoliopsida, Proteales, Proteaceae. The transcript has 3 exons.